CUAUUAACAGCCCCCGCCCAAGUAUUUAUGGAAUGGAUAUCUUUGUAUCUCAACAGCAAGAUCAACAUAAAGGCAGAGAGGCUUUCAGAUCCCUAAGUGCAGAAGGUGUUUUGCCGUCAAAUGUCUACACGGAGGAUUUUGCAGAGGCUGAAACCUAAAUCUUGGAUUUACCUCGCUGAACACAGACUUCGGCCCCAGAAGUUCUGGGCGAUCAAGAUUAUCUACGUUUUGAGGACUUUGUUUCCUAACCCCUGACUUUCAUCUGGACUCAGAUCAAGCUGGCAGCUUCCUGCUUCCUCCGUCUUCUGGACCAAGGCAUAAGCGUACCCUGUCCACCCUGUUUACUCCUGGUCUCACCAAGCUCAUUCAAACAGCACCAGAGAAAUCAUCUGAACAAACAGCACCAGAGAAAUCAUCUGCACAAACCCUGCUUCGUAAACCUGGACCCCGAAUCCCUCUACCCCUGGCAAUCUGACUGCACCUAUUUAUUGGCGAUCCACCCGUUCACGUUCCUGAUUAUUUGCUGAAAAAACUCUAUUUUACUGAUUCAGUUUCUUCCAAGUGUACUUCUGUAUGUGGGUCAGAUCUAUUUCGAAAACGAUGACACCCAGUGAGUGAGUGAGUAAGGAAGGAGAGGAUGUGCCUGCUGCCAAACUGAAAUUUGCAGCUGAUGGUUCAACAGGCCAGAUGUCUCCUGAAAAGAGGUUUGGUGGUGACAGGAUCAUGCUGAGGGUCUGUUUUGUGUCAUUAGAACUUGUGCAUUGCACAAAGUGGAUGGGAUAACAAACAAGGAUGGCUACCUACAUAUUUUACUACAUAAUUCACACAAAUAAACAACUUAAUGGUUGAAACAUGGA
Girardinichthys multiradiatus is the source of this 857-nucleotide long non-coding RNA. RefSeq lists it as uncharacterized. NCBI's taxonomy places the organism in Eukaryota, Metazoa, Chordata, Actinopteri, Cyprinodontiformes, Goodeidae. The record is from RefSeq and is a predicted model, not a curated record. The transcript has 3 exons.